RNAcentral lists this unclassified non-coding RNA (405 nucleotides) under soil metagenome. RNAcentral's name for it is "partial contains 5.8S ribosomal RNA, internal transcribed spacer 2, and large subunit ribosomal RNA". The stretch from base 1 to 121 matches the Rfam family "5.8S ribosomal RNA", at positions 35 to 154 of the family's 154-position model. The record is from RNAcentral.
GAUGAAGAACGCAGCAAAAUGCGAUAAGUAAUGUGAAUUGCAGAAUUCAGUGAAUCAUCGAAUCUUUGAACGCACCUUGCGCCCUUUGGCCAUUCCGAAGGGCAUGCCUGUUUGAGUAUCAUGAACACCUCAACUCUUUAUGGUUUUCCAUGAUGAGCUUGGACUCUGGGGGUUUUGCUGGCUCACAGUCGGCUCCUCUAAAAUGAAUCAGCUUACCAGUGUUUGGUGGGUAUCAUGGGUGUGAUAACUAUCUACGCUUGUGGUUUUUCCACCAGGUAACCUUCAGCAGUGGAGGUUCGCUGGAGCUCAUAGAUGUCUCUCCUCAGUGAGGACAGCCCUUUGAAUGUUUGAUCUCAAAUCAGGUAGGACUACCCGCUGAACUUAAGCAUAUCAAUAAGCGGAGGA